UCCUCGUUUUGUACUGUCCCCAGAGUACCCAGAGCCGCUGGUGGCAAUUCAGCCUGGCAGAACUGCAAGAGUUUCAGAGUUUCUCUAUGUUUCCCCAGCAUUGCUGAGAGGUCGUUCCUGCAGGUGGGGACUCCAUGGUACACGAGAAAGCUCUGACUGCUUGCUUCUCCUGGUCAUACCCUAUAAACUGGCAGCUACACGGAGACCAGUAACUGGAUCUCCGAAGUGUAGGUUUCUUUACACUACUGAAGUCAAAACCUGUCGGAGGCAAGGAGGAAAUGGGAAGAAUUUACAUCUGAAGUCAUAAAUCAGGAGAAAGUCCUGUGAAAAUGGCCAUCCUGCAGAAGGAAUUUCCUGCCCAUGAACAUUUUGCUGUGCUUUUUCUUUCUCAUCAGGAGCAGUGUCUCUGCGAGUGGUGAGCUGAGGACUCUGAGCUCAGCACCAAGGCACAGGGAAAUUUAACCCACUUCCAGAUGCCUGGUUUCUCCCUUGGCAGCACAGAGGUCAGCAGCUCCCCAGUCCCRGGAGUAAAUCCUGACCUGGGUGCUGCUGUGACGGGGCCCAGCUSAGUCUCACCUGUCUGCUGGCUCUUCCCAGGUGGAAGUAAAAGGUGGCAAGUGGCGAUCCGUGGAUGAGCAGCACAGAAGGGAGAUGCAUGGGUAGGGGAAAUUGCCUGGGGAAGGGUGAUGAGCCCCUGAAGCCUGGUUUUCAGAAGGUGGACAAUACCUUGUUUCAUUUUAGAAUAAAAACUCGAUCCCUGUAGAAAGUGGCCUGAUCCAGUCCCAGCAUCACCAGAGAAGGUGCUAUAAUCCUUGCUGAUCCUGACCUUGCCUUGGUGACUYGACUUUCUGGCUUGACCUUGGACCAUGUCUCACCAGUGUGGACUUGUCUGGCAACCUGGACUCUGGCUGCCCCCGGUUAUGAACCCUAGACCUUCUCUGCUCUCCUUGUUUGGGUCCUGUGGGACUGUACCRUUGGCGAGGAGGACACUACCCGUCUUGCCUCGCUGUCACCCUCACCUCCAGCUCCCCUUCCCCUGUGGAGCAGCCUACUCUUGCGGCUCCUUGACAACUACGACAUCAGUGAUGACUCAGGAAUUGUCUGAGGCUUUAAAUCUUAAACCAUGCCAGUCUCUCUGUAGGGCAAAGGUUAUUCUUAUGCUGCGCUGAGAGGAACUCAUGCAUGCUUAUAAGGAGCCUGGCCAUGGCAUUACUURGGUAUCCAGACUAUCACUGCUUGCUAGUUGCGUCUUGACUGGAUCCAGAAGGAGAUGAAGAUACUGGAUGUUUUUGGAAGAUUGACCUCUGCCAUUUUCAGGUUUCUGAAUCUCACCAGCCUUUUCCAAACUAGUUUAAGCUCACAUUGAUUCCCCCACCUCCCGCCCCUGGUUCCCUCCUGAAACACAGUCAAGGGCUGAGAUARGCAAAUGGGGGCUCUCCUUCCACUAAUUCCCUGUAGGUGCGCWGAAGGGGAGAGGGAAGCUCAGGCCCAGCAGAAGUGUUACAGACCUUGGCCGUGAUUAACACUCAUCUCUAGACUGGUUCACAUGGCAAAGCCGCUGCUCUGGGCUGCCCCAUCCUUCACGCAUCCCGAGAGAUGAACUGCCGAUGGUCUGGUCUGCGCAGACUGGAGCAUGUGAGCAUGGCGGGGUUGCUGUCCCCUUUGGUGGGUCACGGUAUGAGGUUCCUUUUGUUAAAGGUGCACAGAGAAGGCUUGUGGUUAUCAAUAAUAUUGCUUUUUUUYCCCUUGUUUAAGGCUGGGAAAAACUAUCAGGUCACCGCUCACUGUGCACAUGGCAGAGCUUUACCAGGUCUGGAUGAACAGAGUGUAAAGGGUUCAGGUAAUGACUGAGCUCAUGUGAACAGUGGUCACCAAGGGAACAGGCUCCGUAAUCUUAUUAUUGGUCUGCUAAAUCCUUCUGACCCUUUAAAGCACUGCUGUCAACAGCGCUAUGAUGGAUCUCACCUGAGCUCAGCCCGGGAGCCCGCUGCAGGCACGGCUGCGGGAAUGCGCGCGGUGUCGGUUCAGCGCCCUGCGUCCUCCAGCCAACCGUCAGGCACUCAGUGAGGGGCAGGAGUCUUUCCACUCAAAGGUGACAAACAGGCAAAUACACUUCCUGAUACACUGAGUGUUACAGCUGAGUCUUUGUAGAGCAUGGCUGYCCUCUGG
Molecule: long non-coding RNA, 2169 nt
Organism: Dromaius novaehollandiae (emu)
Lineage: Eukaryota; Metazoa; Chordata; Aves; Casuariiformes; Dromaiidae
Source: Ensembl